RNAcentral lists this long non-coding RNA (378 nucleotides) under Octopus vulgaris (common octopus). Lineage: Eukaryota; Metazoa; Mollusca; Cephalopoda; Octopoda; Octopodidae. The record is from RNAcentral.
GCUUAGUUUUUCCUUGGGGCUGGCCAGAUUGGAGCAAUCUCAAGAUUAAUCAGCCGAAAUUACAAGGAUGAUCCAGUUCUUGACUGAAGAUUGAAGGCUUCGAAUGACCCAUCCGUAUUUGUUGUAUCGUCUUCUGAAUGUUUUGCAUUCUUGUCCCAUUUUGUAUUUUAUAUAUAUAUAUAUAUAUAUAUAUAUAUACACACACAUGUAUGUAUAUGUGCAGAUAUAUGUAUACACACACACACAUAUGCAUACAUAUUUACAACAGUACUCACUGAUGUGUGUCUAUAUAUACAUGCAUACAUGCAUGUGUAUGAUUCUGUUUGCAUAUAUGUGGUACAUGUUGAAUACAUUAAAAUUUAUUAUAAAACUUAUGAG